AUUGAACGCUGGCGGCAGGCCUAACACAUGCAAGUCGAGCGGAUGAAGGGAGCUUGCUCCUGGAUUCAGCGGCGGACGGGUGAGUAAUGCCUAGGAAUCUGCCUGGUAGUGGGGGCUAACGUCCGGAAACGGGCGCUAAUACCGCAUACGUCCUGAGGGAGAAAGUGGGGGAUCUUCGGACCUCACGCUAUCAGAUGAGCCUAGGUCGGAUUAGCUAGUUGGUGGGGUAAAGGCCUACCAAGGCGACGAUCCGUAACUGAUCUGAGAGGAUGAUCAGUCACACUGGAACUGAGACACGGUCCAGACUCCUACGGGAGGCAGCAGUGGGGAAUAUUGGACAAUGGGCGAAAGCCUGAUGCAGCCAUGCCGCGUGUGUGAAGAAGGUCUUCGGAUUGUAAAGCACUUUAAGUUGGGAGGAAGGGCAGUAAGUUAAUACCUUGCUGUUUUGACGUUACCAACAGAAUAAGCACCGGCUAACUUCGUG
RNAcentral lists this ribosomal RNA (484 nucleotides) under uncultured bacterium. RNAcentral describes it as "partial 16S ribosomal RNA". It matches the Rfam family "Bacterial small subunit ribosomal RNA", at positions 30 to 507 of the family's 1533-position model. The record is from RNAcentral.